AAACGGCCUUCCACAUAUAAUUCUCACCCCCCCCUUAAUUAUUCACUACCUUCCUUCGGUCCAGAAAUAUCUGAAUUUAGAAGCGUAAAAAAAAAAAAACAGCCGACAUUGAUGGAAAGGCGUCAUACUGACACCUUCCGUAAUUGCUGCUCGAUAGCCGCUUUGGAACGCGGCCCUGACCUGACCUGAUGAUCUGACCCGAUCUGACAGACGUAGAAGCGUCGCCGCGCCCUGCUGACCACGUGCACGCCUCGAGUGGCCACACGCACAAUGACGCACACACCGUAACUUCGCAGCAUAUCGGCGUGCGUGAGAUGCCUAAUCGUAAUAUUCGAGAGAAAGUAGCCCCGAGACUCCGCGGGAGUAAAAUAAAACCGCUUUCCAGACCGAUCGGUCCGAUUGUGAAAAUCGGCGGCGGGAGCCGUCACCAGCCGCGUCGCGCCAUUUUCGUUCCCGUCGUCAAAUGCUACGGGUGAAUGAUACGCGCGAGCGCGAUAUAUACGCGGGAUUUGAAUCAAUAUUUCUCAUUCGUCGUUUUACGCCUCUCGCAGCUCCGACGAGACCGCUCGAGCAGUCGCUUCUUGAUUUGUUGAUCGCAUUCUUCGACCUUCUCGCCGCGCAAACGUCCGAGAUUCGUCGAGUUAACUGAAAUUCCGUGAACGCUCGAAUUCCCGAGCGAAUCGGUUAAUUUCGAGAGACUCAUGAGUUUUCGCGGAAUUGCUCAUCGUAUAAACAUGCACGUAAGAUAACGACGAUUAUAAAGCGCGAGGCGCGAGGCGCUAGUCGCCAGCGGGAUUUAACGUCGCCGACGUAAUAACUCGCGUAGAUACCGGCAAAAUUGAAAAAUUAUCCAGUCGCGCGUUAUAAAAGUGCGCUUUCUACCAGGAACUGUUUAGAAGCUGGUUCACCGGAAUGGCUGGUGUGCCAGCUCGCACACGUGCUAAAUGUCACAAUGUUAGAACGUGCAACUCUUAACCGCGCGCACGCAGCAGUCGCGGCGCGUUGUCGGCCCGGUGCGAAAUUAUUUUAUAUACUAAAUAUUCUCUACGGGCUACGGGAGGAAGGGGGGGGGGAGAGAAAGAGAGAGACUCGCUCUUCUCAUCGCUCUUUAUCGUUAAAUGUUAGGCGAAACCGAAUGCGAAUGCGUGAAUCGGGACGUAAAUUUCGAAACGAAUUUCUUUCGGGAGGAUAAAGUUAAUCGCGAGUAUAAUGUAACUUUCUCGUCGCGAAUUUUUCAGCCUGCUCCUGUCCUCGUUUGCCCCGUCGCCGCCGCCUUUCCCCCAUCUUUUCUCCCUCGUGAAUUUAUCGUCCCGGUAGAAAUUUAUCAAAUUUAUGCGCUAACAUCCGCGUUCGACUGUUAUCGGUCUCUCCAGUCACUAAAAAUAUUUUAUUGCGCGCAACUAAAUGUUCAACUUGACGCCUUGACACGGCCUUUCGUGCCGUGUUGUCGACUGUCGCAAGUCUCACAGAGAGUUUUAAAUUAAAUUACAACCAGUGCUUAUAGAAUUCUCAUUUGUUCCGAACACAUGAAAUUUUACCCGUGAAAAUCUAGAGAGAGCGUGUGGUAAAUUCUCCGAAAGAAAAGAGAAAGAAGAGAGAAAAAAAAAACCGUAAAGAUGCACGUGCGGAAACAAAUAACCCCCCGUAAUACGGAUUAAUGGUGUCAGCUACAGCUACAGCUACAGCUUGGUAUCUCAUAAAUUACUCGCAAGUAUAAAAAUAUCCGGUUCAUACCGACGGCACUAGGUGUGCCGAUCUGUGUCGGCUAUCGCGCAAGUAACAAACAAAAAAAAAAAUUGCUGCAAUGGUAAAAAAACGCACGCUGUAUUAGCUGUAUUAGCCUCGAUAGAUGGCACAACGUGCAAAAAGCAGCGAGAGCUCGAGGAUGACAACGAACGAUGCAUGUAAUCGAAUAAUUCGGCAAUAAUCCGAGAGCCGUGUGUGCGCGUAGUGCAAGCGUAAAACAGUCAUCAGCCGGUCAGAGAGAGAAGAGAGCGAACAGGGAGGGGGAAAACGCGCGAGGCGAGUGAAGUACGGUUAGUUUCUCCCCGGAUGUUCGGUGGCCUCUUUCUCGAGCGAGCGGCCUUGCCAGGAAUGCGCAUUUUCUGCCGGUUCGCCGUCUCCUCCGGCUUCGAUUCGAAUCUAUAUGCGCGCGGACUUGCAGCGGCGACCACCUUUCACCCAUCGCGUCGUUCCAGGGGGAGAGGGGGGGAGAGAGAGAGAGAGACGGAGACGAUCCUCAUUAUUCGCGACGUACGAAGUCGUAUGGAGGUCUUAACGGGUGGCGAAGGUCUUGCGGAUGAGUGACGCAUCACAAUGUUAAACAAUACGACACUCGCGAGCGUUAGUCGGACGAGACAGUGGCUUAUCAGCGUGUGUUCUCCCCGUCGGGAUUAUUCGGAGUGUCUUCCGAUAUAUUUUCGGAUGUCGCGUGUCUCCCCGAAGGAAAGUAGAAUUACGACACUAGCGUUACGGCAAUUACAUAACGUCGCGUAAACGGAUAAUAACACGGUGGGAUUUGUACCUGCGUAAACUCGUUUAGCCGGUAGGACGGACAACAAGCCGGCUCCACCUACCCGAGGCGGCCGAGUUCUUCUAGCGCUAUUGUUAUCCGCUAACGUUUCCGUUAUAAUACCAUCACCGUUAAGCGCGUUACAGCGUAAACGGCUGUUUAACGUGCAUGCGUGACAUUGUUUCUACAAACGAACACACACACACACACACACACACAUACAUGUAUGCACAGGCACGGGCCGCAGGCUAGAAAUUUUAGAGAAAAAGAAAAGUGCCAUGUGGCAACGGUUUGACCUUUUUUUCUUUUUCACCCUAAAAAUAUGAAACAUGAAAGUUUGCUUUCGAAUAAAGAAUAAUUAUCGCACAAUGCCGAGAAACGUAUCUACCUCCGUUGUUUCUCAAUUAUACACAUGUCCCAUGUGUUGGAAAUCUGAAUACUCGUCUGAAUUCAAGGACCAAAGUAAUCAAAAUCUUCAGAGCUAGGUACAUGGCCUGGCAUUGAUCCUUUUGCCUCGGGCAAACAAUAAGUUUUGUUCGAAUAAUACAGAGCCGCUUGAGGCUAUUCUCAAGCUCUAUUGCUGCUUUCUAUAGAAUAUAAACUCAAAAAGAACGUAAAAACUGGCAGCAAAUAGGUUGCAGUUCAUUUCUUUCGAAAAGAGAAAAAUGAACUUGGGAACAUACGAAAAUAUCGACACAGAAUGGUCGGACGACUUUCAUCUAUUUCCUAUUAAAUUUAUUCUAUUGAAUUAUCCUAUUAAAUUUAUUGAGUUUAUAAAAGUUGCGAUUCUUUUAGCUUAUGUAACGAAUCGACACGAGUUUUAAUCGGCGAGGCGUGCUAAGCUAUGUCGAGAAAAAUUCGUGUCAGUAUCUGCGUCAUCAAAGAUCAACUGGAAAAAUUUUAUAGCGGCGUAGUGGUGUUAACAAAAGAAAAAGGUUGAUUGAAAGGAAGAAGUUAAAGAAUUUAUGAAUGUGCAAUGAUUGUGCGAAAAUAAAAAUAGAAAUAUCUAGUCGGUGUUUUGAAUGAAAGGACAUUUUGUUGGCAUAAAUCAAAUAAAAAUUUCUAUGUAUGACAGAUUAUAACGGAUCGAUCUGGAAACUAGCGAUUUGUGUGCUUGCCGAUUUCUCUCUCUCUCUCUCUCUCUCUCUCUCUCUCUCUCUCUCUCUCUCUCUCUCUUUCAUUUUUAUUCUAUUCUUUUUGAACGUUUUAGUGGAGUUGUUUGAUAUUUGAGAGACUCUUUUGACUUUAUCAGUCUAGGAUAUAUCUCUGAUGUUCCAAUAUAUUUUUAGUUAUACAUAUGUAUAUUAUAAAUAUUAAAUAUUAAUUUACAAUAUGAAGGACCAACUGUAUCGCCUCUUGCUAUCCACUCAAGGUGUAAAAUUUUGUAUUUUGUAUCAAUUAAUUUUUGGACGCUUGAGAGAGAGAGAGAGAGAGAGAGAGAGAGAGAGAGAGAGAGAGAGCGAGAGAGAGGACAUAUGUCCCAAGGCAUACAAAUAAAUGAUGCUUUCCUUUUUCCUUUCCUCUGAUAUUCCAAUAUAUUUUUAGUUAUACAUAUAUAUAUUAUAAACAUUAAAUGUGUUAAUUUACAAUAUGAAGGACCAAUUAUAUCGCCUCCUGCCAUCCAGUCAAGGUGUAAAAUUUUGCAUUUUGUAUCAAUUAAUUUUUGGACGCUUGAGAGAGAGGACAUAUCCCAAGGCAUAUGUUCAAAGACAAUAAAAAAUAACGCUUUGC
This 4243-nucleotide long non-coding RNA is filed under the name Harpegnathos saltator (Jerdon's jumping ant). Its description in RNAcentral is "uncharacterized LOC112588368". Lineage: Eukaryota; Metazoa; Arthropoda; Insecta; Hymenoptera; Formicidae. The record is from RNAcentral.